Molecule: ribosomal RNA, 423 nt
Filed under: Ceratophrys cornuta group sp. ABGD cluster 3
Lineage: Eukaryota; Metazoa; Chordata; Amphibia; Anura; Ceratophryidae
Description: partial large subunit ribosomal RNA
Rfam family: Bacterial large subunit ribosomal RNA
Source: RNAcentral
CUUGACAAAAUAUAAGAGGUCCAGCCUGCCCAGUGACUCUGUUUAACGGCCGCGGUAUCCUAACCGUGCGAAGGUAGCGUAAUCACUUGUUCUUUAAAUGAGGACUAGUAUGAAUGGCAUCACGAGGGUUAUACUGUCUCCCUUUUCUAAUCAGUGAAACUAAUCUUCCCGUGAAGAAGCGGGAAUAAAGCUAUAAGACGAGAAGACCCUAUGGAGCUUUAAACAAAAUAACAAUUGCUACUAUCAUUAUCUAUUUCAGAAAUUUAAAUUUUAUCUUAGCAUUAUGAUUAUUAGUUUUAGGUUGGGGUGACCGCGGAGUAAAAAUUAACCUCCACAUUGAAAGGAUAAUUUCCUAAGCAAGAAGUUACGACUUUAUGCAUCAACAAAUUGACAUUAAUUGACCCAAUAUUUUGAUCAACGAAC